Sorex fumeus (smoky shrew) is the source of this 1397-nucleotide long non-coding RNA. RefSeq lists it as uncharacterized. Lineage: Eukaryota; Metazoa; Chordata; Mammalia; Eulipotyphla; Soricidae. The record is from RefSeq and is a predicted model, not a curated record. The transcript has 3 exons.
GAAAACAAACAGCUUGACAAGUGUAAUUCUGUCAAUGCUUCAAAGAGGAACCCUUUUCAAAACCGGAUGCUUUAGUUUUCUAACUGGUUUUGAAAAUUAGAAAUACCUCUUAGUGGUCGUUCGUGCCUAAUAAUUACAGAUAGGCUUUUGUGGGGGAAUAGAAGUACCAGAAUUUCAAAGUUGUGACACAUUUAAUAAGUGGUUAUGAUCUCCACAAGUGUGAGGAAGGAAGAAGAAAGAAGGAGAGAAAGAAGAAAGGAAGAAGGGAAGAAAGGGAGGGAAGGUUAAAAGAGAAAAAGAGUGGUCUAAUAAACCAUGCCUAAAAUCAGCUUGCAUUCCCAGUUAGAUUAGUCAGCUCAUCAGUUUAUCUGUCUCUGUUCCAUUUUGAGACAUGAGAUGUUUAUUAAGCAUACUAUUUUAGGUGAUGUCCAUGUAGCAGUGAUCUAUUUGUUCAAAUGAUAUAUUAUUACACCCUGUAAUUAUUUAUGGGUUGUAAUAAUUUUUUUCUGUAUAAUUGAAGCACUUUACAUAAUUGAAGAACUUCAAGAUUUCAUAUGGAAAGUGAUUCAAAGGAUAUUCGGUUACUCCAGUUAUUCAACAUGUGGGGCUAAGAACAGCAGAAGGAAAUAUGGGAGGAAGUGAAUAAAGAAGAAGUCUGCUACGUUCGUUUCUGCAAAUGCAUAUGGUUUGCUUGUAGUUAUGCCCUUGUUGGGUUAAAGGGUUAAUCACGCCUACAGACGAUGUAGUAGGAUUGAGCGUUCGAAGAUCCAGAUUCUCUUGCAGUUUGCUGCCACUUGGAGGGAGUUGGAGGAAUUCAUGCCAAGUGAAGCGAGUCAGAAAGACAAAGACUCAACACUAGAUGAUCAUGGUCAUUUGUGGAGUUUAAAGAAGCAAAGCAAGAGCACUAAUUCCUGUUUGAAAAUAAACUUCUGAAUUAUGGUCACUGGAUCUGUGAUCUGAAGGUGACACAGUGGGGUGGGAAAGCGUUCUCGGGGUAACAGUGGAGGGUCCUGGCACUCUUGUGGUGUGUAGCAGCACUGUUUAGCAGCACCUCAAGUAUUUAAAAGUCAGAAAAGAAUAAAGGAAAAAAGGACCGUAGUGGAGAGUUGAGCACAUUGGUAGUAAGAUCCUGUAACUCUGUACAUUAAAACCAAAAAUGUCAACACUAUUAUUACCAGGUUGCCUACAAUAAAACUGAAACUUAAAAUGAAAUAAAGAGUGUUCAAAUGAAUGUGAUUAAAACAAAUAUUUAAAAGAAAUCCAGAUUGGGGUUUUUCUUGUUUUCUCUGAGUAUCCACUUAAAAUGUGUGUUUGUGUGUUUGUGUUUGUGUUUCUUUUUUCAAAGUAUGCAAAAUUUAUUUAUGUAUCCCCCUUCUUUUAAAAAUAAAUGGUAGCUU